This 481-nucleotide ribosomal RNA is filed under the name uncultured bacterium. RNAcentral's name for it is "partial 16S ribosomal RNA". It matches the Rfam family "Bacterial small subunit ribosomal RNA", at positions 30 to 507 of the family's 1533-position model. The record is from RNAcentral.
UUGCACGCUGGCGGCAUGCCUUACACAUGCAAGUCGCACGGUAACAGGUCUUCGGAUGCUGACGAGUGGCGAACGGGUGAGUAAUACAUCGGAACGUGCCCAGACGUGGGGGAUAACGAGGCGAAAGCUUUGCUAAUACCGCAUACGAUCUAAGGAUGAAAGCAGGGGACCGCAAGGCCUUGUGCGUUUGGAGCGGCCGAUGGCAGAUUAGGUAGUUGGUGGGAUAAAAGCUUACCAAGCCGACGAUCUGUAGCUGGUCUGAGAGGACGACCAGCCACACUGGGACUGAGACACGGCCCAGACUCCUACGGGAGGCAGCAGUGGGGAAUUUUGGACAAUGGGCGAAAGCCUGAUCCAGCAAUGCCGCGUGCAGGAUGAAGGCCUUCGGGUUGUAAACUGCUUUUGUACGGAACGAAAAGGCUCUGGCUAAUACCUGGGGCACAUGACGGUACCGUAAGAAUAAGCACCGGCUAACUACGUG